RNAcentral lists this ribosomal RNA (152 nucleotides) under Ipomoea nil (Japanese morning glory). RNAcentral describes it as "5.8S ribosomal RNA". It matches the Rfam family "5.8S ribosomal RNA". From Rfam's summary of the family: 5.8S ribosomal RNA (5.8S rRNA) is a component of the large subunit of the eukaryotic ribosome. It is transcribed by RNA polymerase I as part of the 45S precursor that also contains 18S and 28S rRNA. Functionally, it is thought that 5.8S rRNA may be involved in ribosome translocation. Lineage: Eukaryota; Viridiplantae; Streptophyta; Magnoliopsida; Solanales; Convolvulaceae. The record is from Rfam by way of RNAcentral.
CGCUCUCGCAACGGCUCUCUCGGCUCUCGCAUCGAUGAAGCCGUAGCGAAAUGCGAUACUUGGUGUGAAUUGCAGAAUCCCGUGAACCAUCGAGUCUUUGCGCAAGUUGCGCCCGAAGCCGUUAGGCCGAGGGCCCGUCUGCCUGGGCGUCC